This is a long non-coding RNA of Bradysia coprophila, 1144 nucleotides long. RefSeq lists it as uncharacterized. Lineage: Eukaryota; Metazoa; Arthropoda; Insecta; Diptera; Sciaridae. The record is from RefSeq and is a predicted model, not a curated record.
CACACAGAGUUAGAAAUAGUGAAAGAAGCACGUGUGACGGACUGAAUGCAGAAAAAAGAAGAAAGCACAGCACUGCUCCAUUCGUUCGUAAUCACUUUUACUUUGACACCUCCAAGAUCGACAGUGAUCGAAACAGUGGUCGAAUGUCUUACGUUCGAGUCGGCAUUGUGUCUGUCUAACGGCAUUGAUGGGCGUCUGGUGGUUGAAAAUUCAACAAAUGCUGCAUUUAAAAUGCAGAUACAUUGCACUUCGUAUCAACAGAAGAAAAUCAACCCAAGUCGCAUAUGUGUGGCUUAUCAAGGUUUUUGCGGCAACAAUUGAAAUGAAAGACUUUUACAUUAUUCUGUCAUCGCAUAUCACAGCACGAUCCGCAACGAUGUACUCGGCAAAGUGACCAACAUCUAUUCUACUUUCCUACGCCAUCAUCGAACAUCAGUGCUGCCACAUCACACGAACAAUCCAUACAUUCACCUUGAUACCAUGGUCUGCUGGAAAAUGUUUGCUAUGGGACACAUCUUGCCGAGACACAGUUGCAAAAUCGUAUUUGAUGAACAGUUGGUUGGGUGGCAAAGACGGCAGAGGACAAAACGAUCGCGCUAUAUAAUUCUUUAAUUAGCCAAUAUCUCUUUGUUCCUUUAAAAAAAAAAUCCAAACAUUUGCCUUGGGCGCAAAAUUCUCAAUUUUAAGGACUCGAAAUUGUUGUGGAAAAAAAAUUGUUUAGAAGAGUCUGCAGUAUCAACAGCGUCUAGGGCGCCAAAAGCCUGAUGGCAGCACUGUCGAACAUUUAAAAACAGACAACACUCAAAGUCACUGGGCUUUUCGCCUAACUGACUGAAUGACAUUACCAACGAACAAUUGCAUGUAACACAAUGAGACAUUAUCGGUACUCAAUCCAAGAUGCAACCUAAUAAGAGAUUCAUUCAGAUGUCAUUAUUGUGGACCUGAUGAAACGAAUUAUUUGUAUUUGUAUCGGUUGAGUUUCGAACCCACAACUGGCACUUCAUAUUUCUCGACUUUCACUCUACGCUUUUUUCGGCAGAACGACAUAUUCAAUUCCACUUAUAACUAAUAUAAGUCAAUGGUUAAGAGGCAUCGGUACUUUGCUGAAAAGCAUACAUUUGGGCGUUUUUUAAAUACUGGAUUU